This is a non-coding RNA of Salmo salar (Atlantic salmon), 8259 nucleotides long. The record is from RefSeq and is a predicted model, not a curated record. NCBI's taxonomy places the organism in Eukaryota, Metazoa, Chordata, Actinopteri, Salmoniformes, Salmonidae.
GUUUAUUCUGCUGCUCUGGACUGGAUCCCACGGUAGGUGGCGGUAGUGAACCAAUAAAUAGUUGGAUUGCUCGCCAGAAACCCAACCAGGCAGGCCGACUGUUGUUACCAUGCAACGAGCAGACGCUUGUGAAAAGUACUAGCUACAAAAUUGUCUCAAUUGCUUGCUGCGCGUGUGUGUGUGUGUGUAUGUUGCUAAUCUAGCUAGUUAGCAAGCCAUCAAUAAAGUUCCUAAAGUUACAACUUGGUAGACGGCUGGAGCACCGACACCGGAGAGUCUGCCUGUCGUUCCCGAGAUGCUGUCAAAAACCUUACAAUUAAGAUCCAUAUUCAGAGAUUCACCUCCACAGCAGCCCUCUCCCAACACCUUCAGCAGCAGGUUUUGACUCAACAGGAGAGGAGAGGCAUUGAGCUGGACACCCUCAUCUCACCGGCUCAAUCAGCUGUAGAUGAUGAGGAGGAGUUGGUGGUAGGCUGGCAGGAGAAGCUGUUCAGUCAGUGGUUUUGUUCCAGAGUGAGUCAGUAUACCAGACUCCACUGGAGAGACAGUACCACACAGAGAUCAUGGCUCUGGAGCGGACCAGGGGCAGACGGAACCGCAGGAUUUUCACCUACACCGAUUCUGACUGCUACACCAAUUGGGAAGGGGAUUCCCAGAGUAUGGUGACGCAGGUCAAGUCCAACCCUACCUUCCUGGCACAUAGGAUGGCCAAUGUCAGACACAGACGACAGGACAGACAGCCAGUUGACAGCACCUUCCCCAAGUCCAGGCUGAUUACCUGGGAGCCCUCGGAGGACUUUGUGAAGACCAGCCACGUGGUCAACACACCUGUACAGACCAUGCGCAUCAUGGGUGACCUGGGACCACCGGGCAAACUUGGCCAAAAGGAGAAGGAAUGCUUGUUGUGCAUGAUAAGAGCAGAUGGAUAUGGAGUGAUUACCAUCAAACCAGACUUCAACAGUUGUUUCAUCAGCAAAGGCAAGCCUGGGAAAGAACUGAAAAAACACACUAAAGAGUCAAGACAGACACCAGAAAGAGGCCCAAGAAGACUUGGACGCAGGAUCAGAGGACAGCGAGGGAUGUUCAGAACUCACUCGGAUUGGAGAAUGACUUCUCAACCCAAGAGGCCCAAGAGCAGCUGUGAGAAAGCAUCAGUUUGGAAGCAUUUGGGAAAAUGUAAAGUGCUAAAGAAGGUUCCCGGCAAAGAGGAUUGCCUGUUUUGGGUCAGAGCCAGCUCUCAAAAACAGAACAUGGAAAGACAUAAAAACCUGGUGCACAACACAAUGCAAACAGAAAAGACUCUCCGCAGCCAGUAAAAGGCUAGCAUGCCACAAAGCUGAAGUUCACACAGGUGAAUGGGAGAGUUGUAAAAGACAUAGCUCCAAAAUACAGGUCCUAGUUGAGCUCGUGAGCUAGUUCUGCUCUUUUUUGCAUUUUUUUGGUUUUGUGGUGCAAACUUUAGUGUGUCGAGCAUAACACGUCAACCCCGUUACCAAUAGAUAAAAAGGCUAGACAUUUUUUAGCAAUUUCAUUUUUUGUCUGAAACUUCCAAUUCAAAAGCUUCCGUUCCCCUUGUUACAAGGGAUUUAUGCAUGAUUUAAUAUGAAACCCUGCCUCCCGAGUGGCACAGUGGACUUAGGCGCUGCAUCGCAGUUGCUAGCUGUGCCGCUAUAGAUCCUGGUUCGGCUGCGACCCGGAGACCCAUGGGUUGGUGCACAAUUGUCCCAGCGUCGUCCUGGUUAGGGGAGGGUUUGUCCGGCAGGGAUGUCCUUGUCCCAUUGCGCUCUAGCAACUCCUGUGGCAGGCCGGGCGCAUGCAUGCUGACACGGUCGCCAGGUGUAUGGUGUUUCCUCCGACACAUUGGUGUGGCUGGCUUCCGGGUUAAGCGGGCAUUGUGUCAGGAAGCAGUCUAGCUUGGCAGGGUCGUGUUUCAGAGGACCCAUGGCUCUCUACCUUCGCCUCUCCCGACUCCGUAGGGGAGUUGCAGAGAUGAGACAAGACUGUAACUACCAAUUGGAUACCACGAAAAUUGGGGAGAUAAAGGGGUUAAGAUAUAUAAUAUAUAAAAUGAAACCCUGUUAUACUUUAUUUGGCACUUAAUAGGCACUUAUUGUAGUCAUUUUUUAAAUUUAAUCUCUUCAGAUGGGAAACCGUUUUAUUUUAAUUUUUAUUCAUUUGAAUAUGGUCUUUAUAACCUUUAUAAUCUUCGUUGCAAUAGGCCCAUAAAAUAAUAUCAGCUUUUAUGAUGCUGGUAAAGAUAGUACCUUACUGCGCAGUAUAGCCUAUAGGUUAUACACUGAGCGUACAAAAUAAUAAGGACACCUUCCUAAUAUUUAGUUAGCCCCCCACCCCCUUUUGUUCUCAGAACAGCUUCAAUUUAUCGGGGCAUGGAUUCUACAAGGUGUUGAAAGCGUUCCACAGGGAUGCAGGUCCAGGUUGAAGCCAAUGCUUCCCACAGUUGUCAAGUUGGCUGGAUGUCCUUUGGUUGGUGGAACAUGAGCGUGGAAAAACCCAUCAGUGUUGCAGUUCUUGACACAAACCGGUGUGCCUGGCACCUACUACCAUACUCCGUUCAAAGGUACUUAAAUCUUUUGUCUUGCCUGUUCACCCUCUGAAUGGCACACAUACACUAUCCAUGUCUCAAUUGUCUCCAGGCUUAAAAAUCAUUCUUUAACCUGUCCUGUCCCCUUCAUCUACAAGUGAUCCGGCAUCACUAGCUUGCAUGUUCUGCAGCCUUGUAAAGAUAGGGAGAGGAUGACUGGGAUGCAGUUUGGCAUUUAUUGUCAUGAAUCUUGCCCUGGCGGCAGUUCUGCAAAGUGGUCACAAGCUGGCACAGGCAUAAAGAAUAAUAUCAGAUUUUUUACCUAACCCUAACCACACUGCUAAUCCUUACCUUAAAUUAAGUCCAUAAAACACAAUUAUUUUCCACAAAUAUUUAAGAUAUAGCCAAUUUUGGCUUUGCAGCUGCCAUAUCUAGAGGAAAUUGCGCAGUUCUGCCUCCAGAGCAGUAUUCAUGACAAACGUCAAGCUGCGACUGGAAGAGGGAAUGUAAAAUCGAUAAUGAAAUUGUUUUGACAAUUAACAUACUUUUUAUUAUGAAAAGUACAAUAUAUCCAUGUACACAUCAGAUAGUUGCUCUUUCUCUGCUACCUCAUUCUAUUUCUCUAGUCUAGUAUUCCCUGGUUAUGUUCCUCGUCUUCCUCCUCUAUUUCCUCACCUCUUCCUCAGACUCUUCUUUUUCUUUUCCUCCUCCUUACUUUCUCCAACAUUUUCCAUCUGUUGCAUCUUACUGGCCUUUUCUUGCUUCUCUACUUUUUUGGCUUUUUUGGACAAGGAGAUAAAGUAAUGUAAGCUUAUGGGUUCUCUUCUCUUGAGCUACUAUAUCUAGAGCUAUGCUAUACUGUAGGAGGAUAUAUGGCCAAUAUACCCUUCUUGUAUUUCCUCCCACCUGUGGGGCCACUCCUGCCAUUUCCUGGAGCCGCUUCCUGCCGGUCUGGCUCAGGUUGGUGAUGGGGGCCAGGUGAGGCAUUUGGCGUUAUGGGAAGUUCUCUGUAGCGGACGGAGUGAUAAUGACAGGGCUGAGAGGAGUCCGAGGCCUUGGGACAUUCUCUGGGGAGGGAGGGGCCACAGCAGAGGGCAGGGCCACAGCAGAGGGCAGGGCCCGUAGGGCUUCAGCCAGGGUCCGGGGUGCUGAGGUCACAAGAGGAGAGAGGCCAGUGUUGCCAGACACAGGACCAGAGACCUUCCCUGGGCUCUGUAGGACCAGAAAGUAAAGUAAAAUAUCAGGACAAUGCUACGUUAAAAACAAUCUGUAGAUAUACUUUAUAACUAAACUAUACACAUUGCAGAUACAUGACUACACUCAAUAAGUAGGAGUAACUUACAAAGCUCUGGACAUUGUUAUUUUUUUCAGGCUUGAGGAGACUGUUCUCGGCUAUACUGGUUUGCAUUUCUGCCAUGCUGUCUAUAUUUUCGGCCAUCUCUCCAGUGCAUUUCUUGAAUGCCACUUUCAACCUCCAAGUCAUUCAGCCAACUGUCCAGGUCUACUGCCUUAAGAUCACCUUCGCUGCAGUUUCUCUUCAUCUCUUGGAUCAGUGCCCUCACCUCCUCGCCCAUCCUCUUGAGCUCCCUAGCCACGUCUUCGUCCCUCAGUCUCUCCUUCCUCCUCCCCAUCCACUUCGCAAUCCAUCCUCUACAGCAUCCCUCAUUCUUCUUCUGCCUCUCUUGGUUGAUGUCCUGACCGUCAUUGUGCGUCUCCAGGCCUUCCUCCAGGUUGAGUUCUAUUGAGGUCAGGUUUUCUUUGAUCCGCCUCAGGCUCUCCUCUUUGAUGUUGGUCCACUCUGUCUGCUUGUCCAGCUGCUGCCUGCAGGGCCGGACAGUGGGGACCACCUCCAUCUGGCAUGACACCUUCUUCAGGGCACUCACAGAGGCAGGGAGGAGGAUGUUGAACUUGGCCACAAUAAUAUCUACAGACAUAGGGUCAAACCGUUGAGAUGUGACACACACACAAAUUUAAAAGAUGCCUACCAGUCGAUGGUCCUUCAGUGGUCCUUGUGGUUCAUUUGGAGGCUCUGGACUGUCCUCAGAAGAGGCAUCAUUGCCAUCAUCAAGCUGUGCGUCAGAGAGCUAGCUGGUCAUAGUCCAUUCUCCACAUUCACUGAGAGUUACUCAAAAAUGUGUGUGGGGGGAGGAGAUAGACAGAUCAUCCUCAUCCAUAUCCCUCACUUCAAGCUUUGUCACCUUUCCAUCCUCAACUUUCAGUGGUGGUGUCCUCCUUUCAUGAUCCUCAUCAUCACACUGUGUAUCAGAGUCAACUAGUCAGAGACCAUCCUCCUCACAGUGAUGUCACUCAACAAAGACAUGGACGGUAGGGUACAACUCUUUUACCUCCGAUUCACAGUCAGUGAAGGAGUAGAUGGAAAAGUCAUCAGAACUGCAGGAUGAGGUCACAUCAUAUUUUCCCUCCAUCAGCCGAGUCACCCUUCCAGACUGAGGAGACAGAGAAAGGCAUGUACUCAUGGCAGCCAUAGAAUACACUGGCAUUGACCCUCAAGGAAAUGUAGAAUAUGUAGACAAUCCAACAUGGUUGUACAAGUAGUGAGUAAUACAUGGGUAACUGAAAAUGCAAUAAAUGCAACUCCCAUAACAUUAGGGGUGGGUCUAAAGACCUUCCAUAGUAUAGGAUUCUUUAGCAUCUCGAAUGGAUGAUUGUCAAUUCAACCAAGCCACCCAAAAUGGCCAUAUGAAUCAACAGAUUGAUCUAUCUGUUGUGUCUCUAUGGGAACAGCAGAGAUGACCUGGCUGAGAGGCUCUGGAUUGAUGCUCCAUCCAUCCCCAGAUGUUUGGUCCUGCCCACGGCUCACAAUGAUUGGCUGUAAACAGUAAAGAAGGAAUUAAAGACUGCUUUCCUCAUUGCAGAAUGCAUAACUAAUGUGCAUGUGUUAUUGAUUUCAGUUCGGAUAUGACUUAAAGGCUUUGUUCUUCUGUGCAUCUUGCUGGUUGGCCACAUCACAGAAUCAGGGAUGCUAACCCUCACUGGAUUCAACCGUCAACACAUCACUCAAUUUAAAAGGUGAUAAUAUAACAAAGACAGGACAGAUAUGUAUUGUAUAUUUACCACAUAAGGGUGGAGUCUUUAAGCUCUUUUGAUUCUCUCAUUAUUACGAUCCAUUGCUUUCUGAGGGAAACAUUUCCAACAAUAUUGGAUAUAUAUGUAUAUGUGUGAGUGUGUGUAUAUACACAGCUUUGGAUAACAUUAAGAGACCACUGCAAAAUGAUCAGUUUCUCUGGUUUUACUAUUUAUCGGUUUGUGUUUGGGUAAAAUUAACAUUUUUGUUUUCUUCUAUAAACUGCUGACAAAACUUCUCCCAAAUUCCAAAUAAAAAUAUUGUCAUUUAGAGCAUUUAUUUGCAGAAAAUGACAACUAAUCAAAAUAACAAAAAAGAUGCAGUUGUCAGACCUCGAAUAAUACUAAUAUUUUAACUUAGGAAGAGUUCUGAAAUCAAUAUUUGGUGGAUUAACCCUGAUUUUCAAUCACAGCUUUCAUGCGUCUUGGCAUGCUCUCCACCAGUCUUUUACGUUGGUGUUGGGUGACUUGAUGCCAUCCUGGCGCAAAACUUCAAGCAGCUCGGCUUUGUUUGAUAGCUUGUGACCAUCCAUCUUCCUCUUGAUCACAUUCCAGAGGUUUUCAAUGGGGUUCAGGUCUGGAGAUUGGGCUGGCCAUGACAGGGUCUUCAUCUGGUGGUCCUCCAUCCACACCUUGAUUGACUUAGCUGUGUGGCAUGGAGCAUUGUCCUACUGGAAAAAGCAAUCCUCAGAGUUGGGGAACAUUGUCAGAGCAGAAGGAAGACCUCUUUUUGCAGGUCAUUUGAUAUCAUCCUACAGUUGUUGAGUGACAUUCGAAUGAGUUGGCAGUCAUCCCAGUCAGUGGAGAGUCGUUUUCACCCUCUGCCAGUCUGUAGCUUUGUUGUCCCCAAUGUCUGCUGCUUGGCCUUUUACCUUUAUUUAACUUGGCAAGUCAGUUAAGAACAAAUUCUUAUUUUCAAUGACAGCCUAGGAACAGAUUUUUACCUUGUCAGCUCAGUAAUUCAAUCUUGUAACCUUCCGGUUACUAGUCCAACGCUCUAACCACUAGGCUACCUGCAGCCCCUAUGAACCACUGUCUUUUAAAUUUUAAGGAUAGAAGCAAUCUGACGCUCACUGUAUCCCUCUGCCAGUAAAGCCAGAAUUGAACCCUUCUUUUCCUCACUCAAAACUUUCCUUUUCAACUCUUUUGACAUGGUCAAUAGUUAUUGUUAGCUUCCAAUUACUUUUGAGGUACUACUAGCACUGUGUUUGCCAUCCAGCUGUUCCUAUUGCAAGAGGAUAGUGAUGACCACAGCAGUGGUUUUUAUACUUUUCCUCGUUAAAUAAGAUUUGGUUUAGGUGAUCACCUGAUCAGUACCUCAUUCAGUAGAAUGAGGCACCUCAUUCAGUAGAAUGAGGUGUGCCUGUGUUGGAAAUCAACAGACACUGGAAUGGAAUGGCUGCCAUACAUGUAGAGAUGCUGAUUUAAGAAACAUUUGCAGUGGUUUCUUUAAUUUUUUUACAUAGUUGUGUGUGUAUAUGUGGUACCCUGUAUAUAUUAUACAGGUUGGGAAGGCUGUGCACCACAAGGCCAAAGGUUACCUGCAACAACCUGAAUGAAGAAAGAGAUUGUACAGAUGAAAUCAAAUCUGAACACAGUUUAUGUAGUGAAUUAAUGCUUGGUUACAUCAUAAUACGUCACAGCUUCAUGACUGUGCAUAAUACAUCGCAAGAAAAAGGCUUGUUUGGAGCCUAACUGGUGGUAUUGUCUUCUCACUGGUUGUAGCUAGCUGAAUAAUGAAAUUAUGUGCAUAUUUCCUACUAACUGAGUAAUGAUUGUAUCGAUGUUUGGUUGGACGUUUUACAGAUAGGCCAAGAGGAUAUCAAUAGGAAGAAACCAUUCCUUGCCAUUUUUGUUUUCAUUUUGCACAUUGAGUAACCAGCAUUAAGGGACCACAAUGGAAGUCGUUGACUUUAUUGUGUUGUCCCUGACACGUUUUAUUUUAUUAAACUGUUUUAUUAUUUUACUAAACUGUCAAAUAUAGCUAUCAAACUCAAAUGGGCUAAUGAGGACUCUGAUCAUCACAUUUCAGGCACAAGCCAGCAGGUGGCAGUGUCUUUAAAUGCAGCACUGCCUUAGUGCACUUCAUGAUCUGCGCAUUAAAUAACUUUGGUUGUGAAGGUGAUUAAUAAAAAUAAAUAAAAAGAAUGUGAUUAAUCCAAAUGCGGAAGUCCAUUACAUUUGCUUUGGUUUAGCUAUCUAUCAACUCCCUCCCUGUCUUAGCUAAAGUGCUGUGCAAUAUUGGAGGACAGGCGUGGUAACUGAAAUGUUUGUAUUGUGCUUGAUUAUCCACUGGUAUCAGUUUGACAAAUAUGUACUGAGCAUCAAAUCUGUUUUGAAAGAUGUUGUGGUGGAAGAAUUUGGGGUGAGCUGUUGUAACUUCUCAAGGGAUAUGUUCUGUGUUGGACUGUGAUGUUUUGCGUUUCAUAGACUACUUGUAUGUCUGCACCCUAACACAAGGCCAUUGUGUUCCAGAACUAUUGAUGUAUAGAAGAACUGUUGUGUAAACAAUAUGAUUGUAUUAUCACCUCCCACUAUAUAAGGGACAUGUAACCAUUUCUUCCUUGCUGUGAAAUUAGAGGUGGAUCUCCUCUGCAGCUGCUUGUAUUAAAUAUGUUUAUUAUAUAUUUAAA